RNAcentral lists this ribosomal RNA (438 nucleotides) under Triticum aestivum (bread wheat). RNAcentral describes it as "partial small subunit ribosomal RNA". The record is from RNAcentral. Lineage: Eukaryota; Viridiplantae; Streptophyta; Magnoliopsida; Poales; Poaceae.
AUGCAGGCCUCCAUGCUGGGACGAGGAGGAGAAGAAGGGGGGCACGUCGGAGGUGCCGGUCGAGCGCACCAUCGAGGAGGCGUUGAUGACGGCAACACGGGCGAGGCCGGGGAGGAGAUCAUGGUUGAUGCUUUACCGCCUGAAGUUGUUGACCUGGAACAAGAGGGUAAGGUGGAUGUGAGAGCAGAAGCGCACGCCGUGGUGCAGGAUGUCGUGGUGUCUGAAGCACCUGAGGUGCCGGAACCAGAGGUGAAGAGCGAGGAGGUGGUGGUCCGGGACACAACCAUGGUGCAUCCCGCGCAUCAACCAGAGACGAAGGCCGAUGAGGUGCUGGUCAGGGAUACAGACACGGAUGUUGUGGUGCAGGAACCGGAAGCAAAGGGUGAGGUGUCACGGUCUCAUGAGGCAGCUGGUGCGCAAACUACAGAGGCGGGCUAA